AAUCCAUAGGUUAAUGAGGCGAACCGGGGGAACUGAAACAUCUAAGUACCCCGAGGAAAAGAAAUCAACCGAGAUUCCCCCAGUAGCGGCGAGCGAACGGGGAGGAGCCCAGAGCCUGAAUCAGCAUGUGUGUUAGUGGAAGCGUCUGGAAAGGCGCGCGAUACAGGGUGACAGCCCCGUACACAAAAGCGCAUGUGCUGUGAGCUCGAUGAGUAGGGCGGGACACGUGGUAUCCUGUCUGAAUAUGGGGGGACCAUCCUCCAAGGCUAAAUACUCCUGACUGACCGAUAGUGAACCAGUACCGUGAGGGAAAGGCGAAAAGAACCCCGGCGAGGGGAGUGAAAAAGAACCUGAAACCGUGUACGUACAAGCAGUGGGAGCCCCACCACCAAAGCAUUUGCUGUACCGCGUUGACGGA
RNAcentral lists this ribosomal RNA (418 nucleotides) under Salmonella enterica subsp. enterica serovar Enteritidis. Its description in RNAcentral is "partial 23S ribosomal RNA". It matches the Rfam family "Bacterial large subunit ribosomal RNA", at positions 161 to 592 of the family's 2925-position model. Lineage: Bacteria; Pseudomonadati; Pseudomonadota; Gammaproteobacteria; Enterobacterales; Enterobacteriaceae. The record is from RNAcentral.